GUGGGGAAUAUUCCGCAAUGGACGAAAGUCUGACGGAGCAACGCCGCGUGAGUGAUGAAGGUUUUCGGACUGUAAAGCUCUGUUGUUUAGGACGAAAGUGCCUGUUGCGAACAGUUACAGGUAUUGACGGUACUAAACGAGGAAGCCACGGCUAACUACGUGCCAGCAGCCGCGGUAAUACGUAGGUGGCAAGCGUUGUCCGGAAUUAUUGGGCGUAAAGAGCAUGUAGGCGGAGAUUUAAGUCUGUUGUGAAAAUGCGGGGCUCAACCCCGUAUUGCGAUGGAAACUGAAUUUCUUGAGUGCAGGAGAGGAGAGGGGAAUUCCCAGUGUAGCGGUGAAAUGCGUAGAUAUUGGGAGGAACACCAGUGGCGAAGGCGCCUUUCUGGACUGUGUCUGACGCUGAGAUGCGAAAGCCAGGGUAGCGAACGGGAUUAGAAACCCCUGUAGUCC
RNAcentral lists this ribosomal RNA (450 nucleotides) under uncultured bacterium. Its description in RNAcentral is "partial 16S ribosomal RNA". It matches the Rfam family "Bacterial small subunit ribosomal RNA", at positions 354 to 796 of the family's 1533-position model. The record is from RNAcentral.